Molecule: long non-coding RNA, 793 nt
Organism: Belonocnema kinseyi
Lineage: Eukaryota; Metazoa; Arthropoda; Insecta; Hymenoptera; Cynipidae
Exons: 3
Source: RefSeq, a predicted model, not a curated record
GACGGUGGAUGAAGUGAAAAAAAGGAAACCGAACGCUGUACCAACUUUAAUUGAUGUUCUAAAUCCACCGCCGAAAAUUGAUUCUGCACCCAAAAAGGCGUUGUACAAAAUCGCGGAAAACGCACAUACUACACUGGCCACGAAUGAACUCGAAAAUCUCAAUCAAGAUGCUACUUUUGUCAAUGUAUCAUUGAAUCAACACCAGCAGAAUGUUCCUCCGAGAAAACGAGGUCCUCACGUCGUAGCGAUCGCAGUGACCACUCUUACUCCAAGAAUCCAGAGGUGGAAAAAGCACCUGAAAUUGUGGACAAUGCAUUCCACCACAGCGACGAUAAGCCUCAUCCAAUAAUCGACAAAAAAACGAAAGGAAACUGUGGAACGGUCUGAAGCAGAAAAUCUCAUUGGGCCAGAAAUCGACCAUAAUGAUACUAGGGCUGCAUAAAAUACUUCGACCUCUUUAGAAAAUCAGAAUGCUGAUCCACACGUGCUGCAGUUCCAACUCGAGAACAAACUUUUGCAGCGAUUAUGGAACAGUAGAAACAACUUGAAACUUUACGAUCGAAGCUACGCAAGUUUUUGAGUGAAGGUCAGAUGAAAAUGUUGAGCGAGGGCAGAGUUUCCAAGUGGUCAGAUGAUAUGAUAAUGGCUGGCCUCAAGUUUCGUCGGGCUCUUCCCUAGCGGACCGAGUCAACUGAAAGGAUACUCUACAGAGUAUUCUCCUAGUAUUCACAGCGUAAACAACUUUUCCAUCAAUUCUCGAAAAAGAAAAACCGUUAAUGGCAUUGCGACAAUC